GGGCCGCACGCGCGCUACACUGACGGAGCCAGCGAGUCUAACCUUGGCCGAGAGGUCUGGGUAAUCUUGUGAAACUCCGUCGUGCUGGGGAUAGAGCAUUGUAAUUAUUGCUCUUCAACGAGGAAUUCCUAGUAAGCGCAAGUCAUCAGCUUGCGUUGAUUACGUCCC
RNAcentral lists this ribosomal RNA (168 nucleotides) under Kluyveromyces marxianus. Its description in RNAcentral is "partial 18S ribosomal RNA". It matches the Rfam family "Eukaryotic small subunit ribosomal RNA", at positions 1484 to 1653 of the family's 1831-position model. The record is from RNAcentral. Lineage: Eukaryota; Fungi; Ascomycota; Saccharomycetes; Saccharomycetales; Saccharomycetaceae.